RNAcentral lists this ribosomal RNA (301 nucleotides) under uncultured bacterium. RNAcentral describes it as "partial 16S ribosomal RNA". It matches the Rfam family "Bacterial small subunit ribosomal RNA", at positions 509 to 808 of the family's 1533-position model. The record is from RNAcentral.
CAGCCGCCGCGGAAUACGAAGGGUGCAAGCGUUACUCGGAAUUACUGGGCGUAAAGCGUGCGUAGGUGGUGGUUUAAGUCCGUUGUGAAAGCCCUGGGCUCAACCUGGGAAUUGCAGUGGAUACUGGGUCACUAGAGUGUGGUAGAGGAUAGUGGAAUUUCCGGUGUAGCAGUGAAAUGCGUAGAGAUCGGAAGGAACAUCUGUGGCGAAGGCGACUAUCUGGGCCAACACUGACACUGAGGCACGAAAGCGUGGGGAGCAAACAGGAUUAGAUACCCCGGUAGUCCCUGUCUCUUAUACA